Molecule: transfer RNA, 72 nt
Filed under: Candidatus Levybacteria bacterium CG22_combo_CG10-13_8_21_14_all_35_11
Lineage: Bacteria; Candidatus Levyibacteriota
Description: tRNA-Met
Rfam family: tRNA
About the family: Transfer RNA (tRNA) molecules are approximately 80 nucleotides in length.
Source: RNAcentral
GGGCCCAUAGCUCAAGGGUGGAGCAAUCGACUCAUAAUCGACAGGUUCCAGGUUCGAAUCCUGGUGGGCCCA